CCUGCCCAAUGAUUGUUGAAUGGCCGCAGUAUUUUGACUGUGCAAAGGUAGCAUAAUCAUUAGUUUCUUAAUUAGGAACUUGUAUGAAUGGUUGGAUGAGAAAUAAUCUGUCUUUAAUUAAAUUUUAUAAGAAUUUUAUUUUUAAGUUAAAAAGCUUUAAUUUGUAUUAAAGACGAGAAGACCCUAUAGAGUUUAAUAAUUUAUUAAUUUUGAUUAUUUAAGAAUUUAUUUUUUAUUAUUUUUAAAUUAUUUUAUUGGGGUGAUGGGGAAAUUUAUUUAACUUUCUUUUUUAAAAACAUUGAUUUAUGAUUAUUUGAUCCAAUUAUUUUGAUUAUAAGAUUAAAUUACCUUAGGGAUAACAGCGUAAUUUUUUUGGAGAGUUCUUAUCGAUAAAAAAGUUUGCGACCUCGAUGUUGGAUUAAAAUUUAUGGCUGGCGUAGAAGUUAGUUUUUUAAGUCUGUUCGACUUUUAAAAUUUUACAUGAUCUGAGUUUAAACCGGUGUGAGCCAGGUUGGUUUCUAUCUUAAUAUAAUUUUAAUAUUUUAGUACGAAAGGACCGAUUAUUUAUAAUAUUUAUUUUGUUUGAAUUAAAUUAAUUUGUUACUUUGGCAGAUUAGUGCACUAAAUUUAGAAUUUAUUUAUGUAUAUUUAUACAAGUAAUACUUGAUUUUACAAGAUUUUAUUUUGAUUU
This 691-nucleotide ribosomal RNA is filed under the name Oocyclus sp. SLE0085. Its description in RNAcentral is "partial 16S ribosomal RNA". The stretch from base 355 to 513 matches the Rfam family "Bacterial large subunit ribosomal RNA", at positions 2473 to 2632 of the family's 2925-position model. Lineage: Eukaryota; Metazoa; Arthropoda; Insecta; Coleoptera; Hydrophilidae. The record is from RNAcentral.